GCUGUUGUAGCUCAGGGGUAGAGCACUUCCUUGGUAAGGAAGAGGUCGAGAGUUCAAUUCUCUUCAACAGCUCAA
RNAcentral lists this transfer RNA (75 nucleotides) under Chitinophaga sancti. RNAcentral describes it as "tRNA_Thr_GGT". It matches the Rfam family "tRNA". From Rfam's summary of the family: Transfer RNA (tRNA) molecules are approximately 80 nucleotides in length. The record is from RNAcentral. RNAcentral also lists the same sequence under 4 other names. Lineage: Bacteria; Pseudomonadati; Bacteroidota; Chitinophagia; Chitinophagales; Chitinophagaceae.